GUGAGGAAUAUUGGUCAAUGGGCGGGAGCCUGAACCAGUCAAGUCGCGUGAAGGAAGAAGGAUCUAUGGUUCGUAAACUUCUUUUGCAGGGGAAUAAAGUGCAGGACGUGUCCUGUUUUGUAUGUACCCUGAGAAUAAGGAUCGGCUAACUCCGUGCCAGCAGCCGCGGUAAUACGGAGGAUCCGAGCGUUAUCCGGAUUUAUUGGGUUUAAAGGGUGCGUAGGUGGUUUGAUAAGUCAGCGGUGAAAGUUUGCAGCUUAACUGUAAAAAUGCCGUUGAAACUGUCGGACUUGAGUGUAAAUGAGGUAGGCGGAAUGCGUGGUGUAGCGGUGAAAUGCAUAGAUAUCACGCAGAACUCCGAUUGCGAAGGCAGCUUACUAAGCUACAACUGACACUGAAGCACGAAAGCGUGGGGAUCAAACAGGAUUAGAUACCCUUGUAGUCC
This 445-nucleotide ribosomal RNA is filed under the name uncultured bacterium. RNAcentral describes it as "partial 16S ribosomal RNA". It matches the Rfam family "Bacterial small subunit ribosomal RNA", at positions 354 to 796 of the family's 1533-position model. The record is from RNAcentral.